This 206-nucleotide ribosomal RNA is filed under the name Coccolithus braarudii. Its description in RNAcentral is "partial Eukaryotic large subunit ribosomal RNA". It matches the Rfam family "Eukaryotic large subunit ribosomal RNA", at positions 1916 to 2132 of the family's 3401-position model. Lineage: Eukaryota; Haptophyta; Coccolithales; Coccolithaceae. The record is from RNAcentral.
GGCAAAAUAGAUCCGUAACUUCGGAAUAAGGAUUGGCUCUGAGGGUUGGGCCUAGGGGUCUCGAGAACGAAGGGAGUACGGAUAGGAGGGGACUGCGGCUUCGGUCAUGGACCCCACUCGUCUGUUUCCCCAAGAUCUCGAGAAUGUCUUCGGACUUUCUCUAGUGCGUUGAACAACCGACUCAGAACUGGAGCGGACAAGGGGAA